Papio anubis (olive baboon) is the source of this 148-nucleotide unclassified non-coding RNA. It matches the Rfam family "Metazoan signal recognition particle RNA". From Rfam's summary of the family: The signal recognition particle (SRP) is a universally conserved ribonucleoprotein. It is involved in the co-translational targeting of proteins to membranes. The eukaryotic SRP consists of a 300-nucleotide 7S RNA and six proteins: SRPs 72, 68, 54, 19, 14, and 9. The record is from Ensembl. Lineage: Eukaryota; Metazoa; Chordata; Mammalia; Primates; Cercopithecidae.
GCCAGGCGUGGUGGCGGGCGCCUGUAAUCCCAGCUACUCAGGAGGCUGAGGCAAAAGAAUCGCUUGAACCCAGGAGGCAGAGGUUGCAGUGAGCCAAGAUCGCGCCACUGCACUCCAGCCUGGGUGAUAGAGUGAGACUCAGUCUCAA